GAUGAACGCUAGCGACAGGCUUAACACAUGCAAGUCGAGGGGCAGCACAGGUAGCAAUACCGGGUGGCGACCGGCGCACGGGUGAGUAACGCGUAUGCAACUUACCUAUCAGAGGGGGACAACCCGGCGAAAGUCGGACUAAUACCGCAUGAAGCAGGGGCCCCGCAUGGGGAUAUUUGCUAAAGAUUCAUCGCUGAUAGAUAGGCAUGCGUUCCAUUAGGCAGUUGGCGGGGUAACGGCCCACCAAACCGACGAUGGAUAGGGGUUCUGAGAGGAAGGUCCCUCACAUUGGUACUGAGACACGGACCAAACUCCUACGGGAGGCAGCAGUGAGGAAUAUUGGUCAAUGGGCGUAAGCCUGAACCAGCCAAGUCGCGUGAGGGAUGAAGGUUCUAUGGAUCGUAAACCUCUUUUAUAAGGGAAUAAAGUGCGGGACGUGUCCCGU
This 445-nucleotide ribosomal RNA is filed under the name uncultured bacterium. RNAcentral's name for it is "bacterial SSU rRNA". It matches the Rfam family "Bacterial small subunit ribosomal RNA", at positions 28 to 467 of the family's 1533-position model. The record is from RNAcentral.